This 406-nucleotide ribosomal RNA is filed under the name uncultured bacterium. RNAcentral's name for it is "partial 16S ribosomal RNA". It matches the Rfam family "Bacterial small subunit ribosomal RNA", at positions 30 to 526 of the family's 1533-position model. The record is from RNAcentral.
AUUGAACGCUGGCGGCAGGCCUAACACAUGCAAGUCGAGCGAGCGGCGGACGGGUGAGUAAUGUCUGGGAAACUGCCUGAUGGAGGGGGAUAACUACUGGAAACGGUAGCUAAUACCGCAUACCAUCAGAUGUGCCCAGAUGGGAUUAGCUAGUAGGUGGGGUAACGGCUCACCUAGGCGACGAUCCAUAGCUGGUCUGAGAGGAUGACCAGCCACACGGGAACUAGGCCACGGUCCAGAAUCCUACGGUAGGCAGCAGUGGGGAAUAUGGCACAAUGGGCGCAAGCCUGAUGCAGCCAUGCCGCGUGUGUGAAGAAGGCCUUCGGGUUGUAAAGCACGUUCAGCGGUGAGGCGUUACCCGCAGAAGAAGCACCGGCUAACUCCGUGCCAGCCGCCGCGGUAAUUC